UCCUGGUGGUAAGUCUCGCUCCUGGAGUUCCCAUCUUGGCCCUACAGCGGGACAUUUUGCCGCCACCUCUUUGUGUGUUGGGAAGAUGACGUCCUUUCUGCUCGUCCUGCUUCUCUGAUUGGGACAGUCUGGUUGGAAAGGGAGGAGGAGAAAUAAGAGAAAACUCCAUUGUAAUAUACAAGAUGAAAGGAAAAUAAAGACAAGUAAAAGGAAUGAUCUGCAACCACCUGGAUAUUGGAGCACAAUUGUGAGAACAACUGGAUCUGUGUCUCUGGAGAUCCCUUUGCUUAGCCGUCAGAUCAAGCAGGCACCCAUGGUUCAUAAUGGUGAUGACCUGGGCAAGAGGUCACCAGUAAGGAGCAAAGGGACCUGCCUGCCACUCUUAAGUAGAGCACCUGCUGAAUCAGGAUUUCCAAGGCUCUGGCUGAGUGCCUGGCUGGGGCUGUGUGUGCAGAUGCCACAAGAUGGACAAGACUGAGGAUGCAGAUUUCCUACAACAGCAGGCUUCUGAUGCCCAGGCUUCAGUUCUGAACUCUGGAGGCUACAACCUGGCCUGCUUAUAGACGGGAGACCAAACGAAGGUAAAGAGGAGAUGGAUGAGGAAACUGAAGCAACUGUUCAAGAAGAGGAUAUCAAAAGGGACAGGCAUUGAUGAUGAUAUCAGAGCUUCUUCCUGGGGAAUCUCAGCCUCACAUGAUGGAGUAUGACAAAAGGAAAAAAAUAAGGCUCUCCACGUACUUUCUUGGCAGUCUAUGAGGGUCAGGGUUGAUUUUGUGUCCCUAAAAUGUUGCAUGAAGUUCAUAGGCACUUCCAAAGGGGCAGUCUAGCAAGUAAAAGAGAUGUGGAGCUGUGGAAUCUAUUGUU
Molecule: long non-coding RNA, 864 nt
Filed under: Pongo abelii (Sumatran orangutan)
Lineage: Eukaryota; Metazoa; Chordata; Mammalia; Primates; Hominidae
Description: lincRNA
Source: RNAcentral